CAGCAGCCGCGGUAAUACGUAUGUCGCAAGCGUUAUCCGGAUUUAUUGGGCGUAAAGCGCGUCUAGGUGGUUAUGUAAGUCUGAUGUAAAAAUGCAGGGCUCAACUCUGUAUUGCGUUGGAAACUGUGUAACUAGAGUACUGGAGAGGUAAGCGGAACUACAAGUGUAGAGGUGAAAUUCGUAGAUAUUUGUAGGAAUGCCGAUGGGGAAGCCAGCUUACUGGGCAGAUACUGACGCUGAAGCGCGAAAGCGUGGGUAGCAAACAGGAUUAGAUACCCCCGUAGUCCCUGUCUCUUAUACC
Molecule: ribosomal RNA, 301 nt
Filed under: uncultured bacterium
Lineage: Bacteria
Description: partial 16S ribosomal RNA
Rfam family: Bacterial small subunit ribosomal RNA
Source: RNAcentral